UGGGGAAUUUUGGACAAUGGGGGCAACCCUGAUCCAGCCAUGCCGCGUGUCUGAAGAAGGCCUUCGGGUUGUAAAGGACUUUUGUUAGGGAAGAAAAAGGAGCGGUUAAUACCCGUUUCUGCUGACGGUACCUAAAGAAUAAGCACCGGCUAACUACGUGCCAGCAGCCGCGGUAAUACGUAGGGUGCGAGCGUUAAUCGGAAUUACUGGGCGUAAAGCGAGCGCAGACGGUUACUUAAGCAGGAUGUGAAAUCCCCGGGCUCAACCUGGGAACUGCGUUCUGAACUGGGUAGCUAGAGUAUGUCAGAGGGGGGGGUAGAAUUCCACGUGUAGCAGUGAAAUGCGUAGAGAUGUGGAGGAAUACCGAUGGCGAAGGCAGCCCCCUGGGAUAAUACUGACGUUCAUGCUCGAAAGCGUGGGUAGCAAACAGGAUUAGAUACCCUGGUAGUCCACGCCCUAAACGAUGUCGAUUAGCUGUUGGGCAGCUUGACUGCUUAGUAGCGUAGCUAACGCGUGAAAUCGACCGCCUGGGGAGUACGGUCGCAAGAUUA
Molecule: ribosomal RNA, 551 nt
Filed under: uncultured bacterium
Lineage: Bacteria
Description: bacterial SSU rRNA
Rfam family: Bacterial small subunit ribosomal RNA
Source: RNAcentral